This is a non-coding RNA of Tulasnella sp. 427, 71 nucleotides long. Lineage: Eukaryota; Fungi; Basidiomycota; Agaricomycetes; Cantharellales; Tulasnellaceae. The record is from the annotation of a GenBank genome assembly.
GGUGAGAUAGUGUAAUGGUAACAUAAGUGACUCAUGUUCAUUUGAUUUAGGUUCAAGUCCUAAUUUCGCCU